AUUUAAGUAGUUUAAUAAAAAUAACGGUUUGUGAAUCCGUAGAUAUAGUUGUUAUCUUAGAUC
RNAcentral lists this transfer RNA (63 nucleotides) under Pseudeuphausia sinica. RNAcentral describes it as "tRNA-His". It matches the Rfam family "tRNA". From Rfam's summary of the family: Transfer RNA (tRNA) molecules are approximately 80 nucleotides in length. Their secondary structure includes four short double-helical elements and three loops (D, anti-codon, and T loops). Further hydrogen bonds mediate the characteristic L-shaped molecular structure. tRNAs have two regions of fundamental functional importance: the anti-codon, which is responsible for specific mRNA codon recognition, and the 3' end, to which the tRNAs corresponding amino acid is attached (by aminoacyl-tRNA synthetases). tRNAs cope with the degeneracy of the genetic code in two manners: having more than one tRNA (with a specific anti-codon) for a particular amino acid; and 'wobble' base-pairing, i.e. permitting non-standard base-pairing at the 3rd anti-codon position. The record is from RNAcentral. Lineage: Eukaryota; Metazoa; Arthropoda; Malacostraca; Euphausiacea; Euphausiidae.